Molecule: ribosomal RNA, 490 nt
Filed under: uncultured bacterium
Lineage: Bacteria
Description: partial 16S ribosomal RNA
Rfam family: Bacterial small subunit ribosomal RNA
Source: RNAcentral
AUUGAACGCUGGCGGCAGGCCUAACACAUGCAAGUCGAACGGUAACAGGAAGAAGCUUGCUUCUUUGCUGACGAGUGGCGGACGGGUGAGUAAUGUCUGGGAAACUGCCUGAUGGAGGGGGAUAACUACUGGAAACGGUAGCUAAUACCGCAUAACGUCGCAAGACCAAAGAGGGGGACCUUCUGGCCCCUUGCCAUCGGAUGUGCCCAGAUGGGAUUAGCUAGUAGGUGGGGUAACGGCUCACCUAGGCGACGAUCCCUAGCUGGUCUGAGAGGAUGACCAGCCACACUGGAACUGAGACACGGUCCAGACUCCUACGGGAGGCAGCAGUGGGGAAUAUUGCACAAUGGGCGCAAGCCUGAUGCAGCCAUGCCGCGUGUAUGAAGAAGGCCUUCGGGUUGUAAAGUACUUUCAGCGGGGAGGAAGGGAGUAAAGUUAAUACCUUUGCUCAUUGACGUUACCCGCAGAAGAAGCACCGGCUAACUCCGUG